UACGUAGGCAGCGAGCGUUGUUCGGAGUUACUGGGCGUAAAGAGUAUGUAGGCGGUUCUGUAAGUCUGGUGUGAAAUCUCCCGGCUCAACUGGGAGGGUGCGCCGGAAACUGCAGGGCUAGAGUGUGGGAGAGGAAAGCGGAAUUCCUGGUGUAGCGGUGAAAUGCGUAGAUAUCAGGAGGAACACCGGCGGUGUAGACGGCUUUCUGGACCACGACUGACGCUGAGAUACGAAAGCGUGGGUAGCAAACAGG
This 253-nucleotide ribosomal RNA is filed under the name uncultured bacterium. RNAcentral describes it as "partial 16S ribosomal RNA". It matches the Rfam family "Bacterial small subunit ribosomal RNA", at positions 524 to 776 of the family's 1533-position model. The record is from RNAcentral.